GCCGGGCGUGGUGGUGGGUGCCUGUAAUCCCAGCUACUCAGGAGGCUGAGGCAGGAGAAUUGCUUGAACCCAGGAGGCAGAGGUUGUAGUGAGCUAAGAUCGUGCCACUGCACUCCAGCCUGGAUGAUACAGUGAGACCCUGUCUCAU
Pongo abelii (Sumatran orangutan) is the source of this 148-nucleotide unclassified non-coding RNA. It matches the Rfam family "Metazoan signal recognition particle RNA". From Rfam's summary of the family: The signal recognition particle (SRP) is a universally conserved ribonucleoprotein. NCBI's taxonomy places the organism in Eukaryota, Metazoa, Chordata, Mammalia, Primates, Hominidae. The record is from Ensembl.